AGCAGCCGCGGUAAUUCCAGCUCCAAUAGCGUAUAUUAAAGUUGUUGCAGUUAAAAAGCUCGUAGUUGAAUUUCGGGGUCAGUAGAUUGGUCGUGCCACUGGUAUGUACUGGUCUUACUGGCUCCUCCUUCCUGAUGAACCGUAAUGCCAUUAAUUUGGUGUUGCGGGGAGACUGGACUGUUACUUUGAAAAAUUAGAGUGUUUAAAGCAGGCUAACGCUUGAAUACAUUAGCAUGGAAUAAUGAAAUAGGACGUUCGAUCUUAUUUUGUUGGUUUCUAAGAUUGACGUAAUGAUUAAUAGGGAUAGUUGGGGGCAUUAGUAUUCAAUUGUCAGAGGUGAAAUUCUUGGAUUUAUUGAAGACUAACUACUGCGAAAGCAUUCGCCAAGGACGUUUUCAUUAAUCAAGAACGAAAGUUAGGGGAUCGAAGACGAUCAGAUACCGUCGUAGUCCUAACCAUAAACUAUGCCGACUAGGGAUCGGAUGAUGUUAAUUUUUAAUGAC
RNAcentral lists this small RNA (503 nucleotides) under uncultured Glomus. Its description in RNAcentral is "SSU rRNA". It matches the Rfam family "Eukaryotic small subunit ribosomal RNA", at positions 569 to 1075 of the family's 1831-position model. The record is from RNAcentral. Lineage: Eukaryota; Fungi; Glomeromycota; Glomeromycetes; Glomerales; Glomeraceae.